GUUUCCUACUGCCUAGCAAGACAUAUACUAAAAUUGGAACAAUAGAGAAGAUUAGCAUGUCCCCUGCGCAAGGAUGACAUGCAAAUUCGUGAAGACCUACCAGACCUG
Mauremys mutica (yellowpond turtle) is the source of this 108-nucleotide small nuclear RNA. The record is from RefSeq and is a predicted model, not a curated record. Lineage: Eukaryota; Metazoa; Chordata; Testudines; Geoemydidae.